AUUGUUAGGUUUAAUCUUGUCAAGAGGAAAGUGUGAGUGUAGUCAGGCAUGUAGUUGAGUUUCCUAUACGUGAGCUGCGGCAGUGUGUGCACAGAGAGAUGUGAUCCUGGGUACAAACGCAAAGCUUGUAGUGUUAGUUAGUUGCAUGCCUAGUUAGUAGGAGAGGAUUGAGUCACACGUCUGCAUGGAUAAGUUGUUAGCUAGUCGGAGAGUUUGCAAGGUAGUUAGCUUAGUGCGUGCGUUAAUGAGUUAGUGGCCGAGUGUGCCGG
RNAcentral lists this long non-coding RNA (269 nucleotides) under Hordeum vulgare. RNAcentral's name for it is "long non-coding RNA (HVUL_LNC000025)". The record is from RNAcentral. Lineage: Eukaryota; Viridiplantae; Streptophyta; Magnoliopsida; Poales; Poaceae.